This 497-nucleotide ribosomal RNA is filed under the name uncultured bacterium. RNAcentral's name for it is "partial 16S ribosomal RNA". It matches the Rfam family "Bacterial small subunit ribosomal RNA", at positions 28 to 507 of the family's 1533-position model. The record is from RNAcentral.
GAUGAACGCUGGCGGCGUGCCUAAUACAUGCAAGUCGAGCGAACAGAUAAGGAGCUUGCUCCUUUGACGUUAGCGGCGGACGGGUGAGUAACACGUGGGUAACCUACCUAUAAGACUGGGAUAACUUCGGGAAACCCGAGCUAAUACCGGAUAACAUUUGGAACCGCAUGGUUCUAAAGUGAAAGAUGGUUUUGCUAUCACUUAUAGAUGGACCCGCGCCGUAUUAGCUAGUUGGUAAGGUAACGGCUUACCAAGGCGACGAUACGUAGCCGACCUGAGAGGGUGAUCGGCCACACUGGAACUGAGACACGGUCCAGACUCCUACGGGAGGCAGCAGUAGGGAAUCUUCCGCAAUGGGCGAAAGCCUGACGGAGCAACGCCGCGUGAGUGAUGAAGGGUUUCGGCUCGUAAAACUCUGUUAUUAGGGAAGAACAAAUGUGUAAGUAACUGUGCACGUCUUGACGGUACCUAAUCAGAAAGCCACGGCUAACUACGUG